This 417-nucleotide ribosomal RNA is filed under the name uncultured candidate division MSBL6 bacterium. RNAcentral's name for it is "bacterial SSU rRNA". It matches the Rfam family "Bacterial small subunit ribosomal RNA", at positions 505 to 922 of the family's 1533-position model. The record is from RNAcentral.
GUGCCAGCAGCCGCGUUAAUACGAAGGAUGCAAGCGUUGUCCGGAAUUACUGGGCGUAAAGGGCGUCUAGGCGGUUGAGCAAGUCACCUGUAAAAGUCCACGGCUUAACUGUGGAAUGUCUGGUGAUACUGUUUAACUUGGGUACAGGAGAGGAGGGUGUAACUCACAGAGUAGCGGUGGAAUGCGUAAAUACUGUGAGGUACCCCGAUGGCGAAGGCAACCCUCUGCCCUGUUACCGACGCUAAAGCGCGAAAGCGUGGGGAGCGAAGGGGAUUAGAUACCCCCGUAGUCCACGCCGCAAACGAUGUUCACUGGGUGUCGGUCAUUAAUUAGAUCGGUGCCGGAGCUAACGCAUUAAGUGGACCGCCUGGGGACUACGGCCGCAAGGCUAAAACUCAAGAGAAUUGACGGGGCCCC